RNAcentral lists this long non-coding RNA (3751 nucleotides) under Sus scrofa (pig). RNAcentral describes it as "lncRNA (ENSSSCG00065036687.1)". The record is from RNAcentral. Lineage: Eukaryota; Metazoa; Chordata; Mammalia; Artiodactyla; Suidae.
CGCAGAGACGGCUGAGAGGCAGGAAACGCUUCUUGAGGAGACCGCAGAUAAGUUUUUCUGUUAAGAUAGGGAUUACUCUUAUUCUCUAGGAAUUAUAAAUUAGCGAAAAUACUGAGCUGUAGUUUUGAGUUAAAUUCGUGAGAGUAGAUCUGAUAAUUAAUAGGAAGGUCUUAUUUUAGGGGAAAAUGGAGACGUCCUUAAAAAAUAGUAUGAGAAAGGAAGAAAGAAGAAAAAAGAUAAUAUUAGAACAUGACGGAGGUUAAGAGCUGAAGCUUCUUCAUGGAGUGAGAAAGCUAAUUUUAAAAGGAGUUGCCGAGACAGGACUGCAAAGUAUGGAAUUUUAAAGUCUUAAAUUGAAGGGCAGCUUUUUAGAUUAUUGUUCAAACGUAAUGCUAUAAAUAGAACCUAAACAAUACUUUUAAAGUCCAGUCGUAGAUGGAUUAAAAUGUUUUAAAAGCCAUCUUUAAAGGUCAGUUGAAGGUGAUUUAAGAAAUGCCUUCAAAUUCACGGCGCGAUCAAAACUGCGUCAUUUGAAGCCUUAAGGCUUUCUUUGGAAGUUGAUGGAAGUAUUAGUGGAGAAAGAAGAUUAGAAAUUUGAAGUGGAAAACUCGGAAGACAAGUACAGGAAGGUGAAGAAAAGAUUAGUGAAGAUAGGAAAACUAGAAGAUAAAAAAUACGGCUUUUAGAAGACAGAAAAAAACUAAGCCCAGAAGGUAGGAGGCAGAAGACAUCUAGAAAGAGAAGGUUGAAAAGAUGUUCGAGUGUUUGAGGUAGAAAAUGAGAAACAAGCUGUUGGAGACAAGCAUACAAGAUAGAGGUCCAAGUAAUUGGAAGAUAGAAAAGUCCGAAGCCAAAAAAUUGGAUAAGUACAAGACGCAAAACUAAGAAAAAUAAUUUUUAAUAGUUAAAUUUAUUUAAAAAGCCCAUCAACUUUAAUUUGUGGUGGUGCAGAAGUUAGAUCUGAGAAGAGGGUUUUAAACUACAGUAGACCAAGACCAACUUAGAAGAAUAUCUCGAAGCUGUAGAGGGAAGUAAAUUUAAAAUCACAGCAAAAAGCUACUAAAAAGACUGAUGUAAAAAUUAAGGUAGACGGAAGAGUUAAAAAUUUGAAAGGCCUUAAAUCCAUACAGUAGUUUAGUUUCUUCUGGAAAACUUAAAGGACGAUAAAUUCAACAGCGAGGAUAACCAAGUUAACAUUUUUUGCAUUGGACUUUGAGCUAAGAUGAAUUUCUAAACCCUGAGGACUAGGCGCUAAUUAACAGCUGACCAGGUGCUACACAGAAGUGGAUUCAGAGAACCUAGGAAGACAGCAGCAGACAGGAUUCCAGGAGCCAGUUUUUGGUGAAACUAGGACUGAGGAGCGAGCGGCAGUUCGUGAAGAUAGGAAGGAGGAGCCCGGGAGCCAGUGCGAUUUGGUGAAGGAAGCUAGGAAGAAGGAAGGAGCCCUAACGGUUGGAGGUGAAGCUAGGAGAGGAUUCCAGGAAGGAGGAAGCCAGUGCGAUGUGGUGAUGAAGCUAGCGUGCGGCUUGGCGGCGUGGCUUGGCAACCCCGCGGAGGAGGCGAGCAGGCGGUGUGGAGGCUAGAUAGAGCGUCCUAGAGCGGCAGCCCAGUGUGCAAGGCCGGCAGGGAGAGCCAGUGGUGUGGUAAAAAUCCGUGAGGUCGGCAGUAUCGUGGGUUCUGCUUUGUUUCUUCACCUUUUUUUGGUAACAGUACGGUAAUCUUUGUUGUAUUUCCUAAUGGUGAUGGGGGAGCUGUGUACUUAAGCAUAAAGGGUUUUAUGGGGAUGUAGGCCGAUUUUCGGGUGUUGUAGGUUUCUCUUUUUCAGGCGUAUUUUCUCAUCUUGUCUGAAGCUUUUGAGGGCAGACUACCAAGGCCCGGAGGAAUAGUAGAUGGCAAGUGUUUUCGUUUUUAACCAAUAUGAGGGAAAACAAAUGAAUUUGAUAGAACAACCUUGAGACAGUUUCAGCCAGCUUUGUAAGCAGGUUUUAUAUUUAGCUUGGUAAUGAAGCAUUUCCGUUUUGUGAGUAGAUGACUUAAUUUUCUUUCUCAUUCUCUAUUCUAAGUUACCUAUAUAUAUAUAGUUGGGUGUGUAAUUCGGGGGGGUAAAGGUUUUGGGGGGGCAAAAUAUGUUUUGAGUUCUUUUCCCCUUAGGUCUGUCUAGAAUUCCAAAGGCAAAUGACUCAAGGUAACAGGAAAAAAGAAAAUCCAGUAUCAGGAUAAUCAGAACACCACAGGUUUACAGUUUGUAGAAACUAGAACACGAGCAGCUCUCACUUAAGGUCUGUGAUGGAACUCCAGUGGAGAAAUGGCUGGUACUUUUUCCACCCCUUAAUCAGAUUUUUUUUUAAUUAAAGUAUGUAACCGGUUAUUUUUACUUGAAGUAUUUUGGGGUGGUCUUAACAGGGAAGAGGGUGGGGGAGAAAAUGUUUUUUUCUAAGACUUUCCACAGAUGCUAUAGUACUAUUGACAAACUGAGUUAGAGAAGGAUUGUACUGCUAUGCUGUUGGCACCAAACACCUUCAGGGAUUGGAGCUGCUUUUUUCCUUGGAGUAUUCCCAGUGAAGCUGAAAUAUACAGCACAGUGCAGCUUUGGUUCAUAUUCAGUCAUCUCAGGAGAACUUCAGAAGAGCUUGACUAGGCCAAAUAUUGAAGUUAAGUUUUCAAAUAAUGGAACUUUUUAAGAUGCCUUUUAAAGGGGAGGGGCAAGUUUUGGCAAUUAGUUGGCAGUGGCCUGUUUUGGUUGGGGUUGGGUGGGUUGGGUUUAGGUAAUUGUUUAGUUUAUGAUUUCAGAUAACUCAUGCCAGAGAACUUAAAUACUUAGGAUGGAAAAACUAAAGAAAUCUCACCUCCCAAGUUGGCAAGUAACUCCUGAUCCUCUAGUUUCUUGUUUUACCCCAAUUUUUGAACUGGACAGCUGGGAACUUCAAAGAUUCACUGGAUUUAAAGUGUAGGGCUUGGGAAAGGAAAGUGUUGGAUUGGGGGUUGGUCUAGCCCACUGGGUUGACCAAGAUAAAAACUUGGGGAAUUGUUUAAACACUAAAGUUGUUUGGAUAUGGUAGUGUGUGGUUCUCUUUUGGAAUUUUUUUCAGGUGAUUUAAUAAAACUUAAUACUACUAUAGGAGCUUCAGAGCAAAGGAAGUGGCUUAAUGAUCCUGAAGGGAUUUCUUCUGAUGGUAGCUUUUAUAUUAUCAAACUUUUUUCAGAUAACAUCUUCUGAGUCAUACCCAGCCUGGCAAUAUGAUGGCCUAGAUGGAGAGGGGAACAGCUCCUUGACAGGUUUCUCUAUCAGAAGAGUUGCUUCAUAUCAUCUGGGAGCAGAAAACAGCAGGCAGCUGUUCACAGAUAAGUUUAACUUGCAUCUGCAGUAUUGCAUGUUAGGGAUAAGUGCUAUGUUUAAUAAGAGCUGUGGAGGUCCUAGGUCCCUUACUCAAGGGAUCUCAGGAUUUUGAGGAAUUUUCCCAUCCAGCCUUUUAAAAUGAGACAGGCCUUAUGCCUGUGGGCUUCCAUGAUGGGCUAACUCACUUCACUCGAGGCAAGUAAUUCCUUAAAGCCUCUUGAGAUUAAUACCUUAAUAAUCAAGGAUAAUGUUGAUAAAAUAAAAAUUUGUUUAGCAUUGAUUCUUGAAAACCCUAUGAAAAGAUAGCAUAAUGUGCUGUUAACCAGAAUCAGAUAUGUUAACCUUGCUAAAAUUUAAAUGUUAUGUGUAUUGUGCAGAAAACCGUAAAAUCACUCAAAAUAAAAUACUUUAUUU